GUACUGGUGGCUCAGCGGUAGAAUUCCUGCCUGCUACGCGGGAGGCCCAUGUGCGACUCCCGGCCAGUGCA
This 71-nucleotide transfer RNA is filed under the name Dryobates pubescens (Downy woodpecker). RNAcentral describes it as "Picoides pubescens (downy woodpecker) tRNA". It matches the Rfam family "tRNA". From Rfam's summary of the family: Transfer RNA (tRNA) molecules are approximately 80 nucleotides in length. Their secondary structure includes four short double-helical elements and three loops (D, anti-codon, and T loops). Further hydrogen bonds mediate the characteristic L-shaped molecular structure. tRNAs have two regions of fundamental functional importance: the anti-codon, which is responsible for specific mRNA codon recognition, and the 3' end, to which the tRNAs corresponding amino acid is attached (by aminoacyl-tRNA synthetases). tRNAs cope with the degeneracy of the genetic code in two manners: having more than one tRNA (with a specific anti-codon) for a particular amino acid; and 'wobble' base-pairing, i.e. permitting non-standard base-pairing at the 3rd anti-codon position. Lineage: Eukaryota; Metazoa; Chordata; Aves; Piciformes; Picidae. The record is from Rfam by way of RNAcentral.